This 329-nucleotide unclassified non-coding RNA is filed under the name soil metagenome. Its description in RNAcentral is "partial contains 5.8S ribosomal RNA, internal transcribed spacer 2, and large subunit ribosomal RNA". The stretch from base 1 to 120 matches the Rfam family "5.8S ribosomal RNA", at positions 35 to 154 of the family's 154-position model. The record is from RNAcentral.
GAUGAAGAACGCAGCGAAAUGCGAUAAGUAGUGUGAAUUGCAGAAUUCAGUGAAUCAUCGAAUCUUUGAACGCACAUUGCGCCCCUUGGUAUCCCGAGGGGCAUACCUGUUCGAGCGUCAUUUCACCACUCAAGCCUGGCUUGGUGUUGGGCGACGUCCCCUUUGGGGACGCGCCUCGAAACGCUCGGCGGCGUGGCACCGGCUUUAAGCGUAGCAGAAUCUUUCGCUUUGGAAGUCGGGGCCCCGUCUGCCGGAAGACCUACUCGCAAGGUUGACCUCGGAUCAGGCAGGGAUACCCGCUGAACUUAAGCAUAUCAAUAAGCGGAGGA